CCCUGUGGCUCAGUUGGUAGAGCAUGGUGUUUGCAAUGCCAGCAUGGUGUGUGCAACACCAGGGUUGUGGGUUCAAUUCCCACAGGGG
Salmo salar (Atlantic salmon) is the source of this 88-nucleotide non-coding RNA. Lineage: Eukaryota; Metazoa; Chordata; Actinopteri; Salmoniformes; Salmonidae. The record is from Rfam.